GCUGGAGUAGCUAAGUUGGUUAGAGCGCAUGGUUGUUAACCGAAAGGCCGAAGGCUCAAACACUUGCUCUAGCG
Populus trichocarpa (black cottonwood) is the source of this 74-nucleotide non-coding RNA. Lineage: Eukaryota; Viridiplantae; Streptophyta; Magnoliopsida; Malpighiales; Salicaceae. The record is from Rfam.